This 425-nucleotide ribosomal RNA is filed under the name uncultured bacterium. Its description in RNAcentral is "partial 16S ribosomal RNA". It matches the Rfam family "Bacterial small subunit ribosomal RNA", at positions 354 to 796 of the family's 1533-position model. The record is from RNAcentral.
GUGGGGAAUAUUGGACAAUGGGCGCAAGCCUGAUCCAGCCAUGCCGCGUGAGUGAUGAAGGCCUUAGGGUUGUAAAGCUCUUUCGUGGGGGAAGAUAAUGACUGUACCCCAAGAAGAAGCCCCGGCUAACUCCGUGCCAGCAGCCGCGGUAAUACGGAGGGGGCUAGCGUUGUUCGGAAUUACUGGGCGUAAAGCGCACGUAGGCGGACUGGAAAGUCAGGGGUGAAAUCCCGGGGCUCAACCUCGGAACUGCCUUUGAUACUGGGUGUCUUGAGUAUGAGAGAGGUGUGUGGAACUCCGAGUGUAGAGGUGAAAUUCGUAGAUAUUCGGAAGAACACCAGUGGCGAAGGCGACACACUGGCUCAUUACUGACGCUGAGGCGCGAAAGCGUGGGGAGCAAACAGGAUUAGAAACCCGGGUAGUCC